AAAGUGGAGGCUAUUGUAACUGAAGAGAACUGGAAAGUUCCACCGUAGAAGGUAAUAGUCCUGUAAGUGAAACGAGAAGACCACGAGUUAUGAUCCAGAGUACCACGAGACACGUGAAACCUUGUGGGAAGCAGGGAGGACCACCUCCCAAGGCUAAAUACUACCUGAUGACCGAUAGUGAAGCAGUACCGUGAGGGAAAGGUGAAAAGAACCCCGGGAGGGGAGUGAAAUAGAACCUGAAACCGUGUGCCUACAACCGCUCAGAGCCCCUUAUGAGGGUGAUGAGGUGCUUUUUGUAGAACGAGCCAACGAGUUACGGUAUGUAGCAAGGUUAAGUACUUAAGGUACGGAGCCGAAGGGAAACCGAGUCUGAAUAGGGCGACUAGUUGCAUGCCGUAGACCCGAAACCGGGUGACCUAUCCAUGGCCAGGUUGAAGCGAGGGUAAAACCUCGUGGAGGACCGAACCACGUUGCUGUUGAAAAAGCAUGGGAUGAGCUGUGGAUAGCGGAGAAAUUCCAAUCGAACCCGGAGAUAGCUGGUUCUCUCCGAAAUAGCUUUAGGGCUAGCGUCGAGUAUGAGUAGUGGAGGUAGAGCACUGAAUGGGCUAGGGGGCAUAGCGCUUACCGAACCUUAUCAAACUCCGAAUGCCACAUACUUUGAGCUCGGCAGUCAGACUACGAAUGAUAAGAUCCGUGGUCAAAAGGGAAACAGCCCAGAUCGUCAGCUAAGGUCCCAAAGUGUAAGUUAAGUGGGAAAGGAUGUGAGAUUUCUAAGACAACUAGGAUGUUGGCUUAGAAGCAGCCAUUCAUUAAAAGAGUGCGUAAUAGCUCACUAGUCGAGAGAUCUUGCGCCGAAAAUGUAACGGGGCUAAACUUACCACCGAAGCUACGGGCUUGAACUUAGUUCAAGCGGUAGGAGAGCGUCGUAACCGGGCUGAAGUCGUACCGUAAGGAGCGGUGGACUGGUUACGAGUGAGAAUGUUGGCAUCAGUAGCGAGAUGUGGGUGAGAAUCCCACAGGCCGAAAACCUAAGGUUUCCUCAGGAAGGUUCGUCCGCUGAGGGUUAGUCGGGACCUAAGCCGAGGCCGAAAGGCGUAGGUGAUGGACAACUGGUUGAUAUUCCAGUACCACUACCAUCGUUAUUAUCGAUGGCGUGACGCAGGAGGAUAGUGUGUGCUAGCUAUUGGAUGCUAGUCUAAGCGUUUAGGCAGUGAGAGUAGGCAAAUCCGCUCUCAUAAUGCUGAGGCGUGAUGGGGAAGGUUCUACGGAACCGAAGUACAUGAUUCCACGCUGCCAAGAAAAGCGUCUAGAGAGAGAAGUAGUGCCCGUACCGCAAACCGACACAGGUAGGUGAGGAGAGAAUCCUAAGGCCGGCGGAAGAAUUACAGUUAAGGAACUCGGCAAAUUGACCCCGUAAGUUCGCGAGAAGGGGUGCCUACGAGAGUAGGCCGCAGAGAAUAGGCCCAAGCAACUGUUUAGCAAAAACACAGGUCUCUGCUAAAGCGUAAGCUGAUGUAUAGGGGCUGACGCCUGCCCGGUGCUGGAAGGUUAAGGGGAACACUUAGCGCAAGCGAAGGUGUGAACUUAAGCCCCAGUAAACGGCGGCCGUAACUAUAACGGUCCUAAGGUAGCGAAAUUCCUUGUCAGGUAAGUUCUGACCCGCACGAAUGGCGUAAUGACUUGGGCACUGUCUCAACUGUAAAUCCGGCGAAGUUGUAGUGCGAGUGAAGAUGCUCGCUACCCGCGAUUGGACGGAAAGACCCCGUAGAGCUUUACUGUAGCUUAGCAUUGAGUUUUGGUAUUGUCUGUACAGGAUAGGUGGGAGACUAGGAAACCAGGGCGUCAGCCUUGGUGGAGUCAACCUUGGGAUACCACCCUGACAGUACUGAAAUUCUAACUGGCGGCCAUGAAUCUGGUCACAGGACAUUGUUAGGUGGGCAGUUUGACUGGGGCGGUCGCCUCCUAAAAAGUAACGGAGGCGCCCAAAGGUUCCCUCAGAACGGUCGGAAAUCGUUCGAAGAGUGCAAAGGCAGAAGGGAGCCUGACUGCGACACCCACAAGUGGAGCAGGGACGAAAGUCGGGCUUAGUGAUCCGGUGGUACCUCGUGGGAGGGCCAUCGCUCAACGGAUAAAAGCUACCUCGGGGAUAACAGGCUGAUCUCCCCCAAGAGUCCACAUCGACGGGGAGGUUUGGCACCUCGAUGUCGGCUCGUCGCAUCCUGGGGCUGAAGUAGGUCCCAAGGGUUGGGCUGUUCGCCCAUUAAAGCGGCACGCGAGCUGGGUUCAGAACGUCGUGAGACAGUUCGGUCCCUAUCCGUCGCGGGCGUAGGAAAUUUGAGAGGAGCUGUCCUUAGUACGAGAGGACCGGGAUGGACUGACCUCUGGUGUACCAGUUGUUCCGCCAGGAGCACAGCUGGGUAGCUAAGUCGGGAAUGGAUAAACGCUGAAAGCAUCUAAGCGUGAAGCCAACCUCAAGAUGAGAUUUCCCAUAGCGUAAGCUAGUAAGAUCCCUUGAAGAACACAAGGUUGAUAGGUCGGGGGUGUAAGCAUGGUAACAUGUUCAGCUGACCGAUACU
This 2576-nucleotide ribosomal RNA is filed under the name Clostridium perfringens. RNAcentral's name for it is "partial 23S ribosomal RNA". It matches the Rfam family "Bacterial large subunit ribosomal RNA", at positions 313 to 2902 of the family's 2925-position model. Lineage: Bacteria; Bacillati; Bacillota; Clostridia; Eubacteriales; Clostridiaceae. The record is from RNAcentral.